RNAcentral lists this ribosomal RNA (264 nucleotides) under uncultured bacterium. RNAcentral describes it as "partial 16S ribosomal RNA". The record is from RNAcentral.
CUGCUGCCUCCCGUAGGAGUUUGGGCCGUGUCUCAGUCCCAAUGUGGCCGUCCACCCUCUCAGGCCGGCUACUGAUCGUCGCUUUGGUAGGCCGUUACCCUGCCAACUGGCUAAUCAGACGCGGGUCCAUCCCAUACCACCGGAGUUUUUCACACAGGAGCAUGCGCUCCCGUGCGCUUAUGCGGUAUUAGCACCUGUUUCCAGGUGGUAUCCCCCGGUAUGGGGCAGGUUACCCACGCGUUACUCACCCGUCCGCCACUAAGA